This 253-nucleotide ribosomal RNA is filed under the name uncultured bacterium. RNAcentral's name for it is "partial 16S ribosomal RNA". It matches the Rfam family "Bacterial small subunit ribosomal RNA", at positions 524 to 776 of the family's 1533-position model. The record is from RNAcentral.
UACAGAGGUCCCAAGCGUUGUUCGGAUUCAUUGGGCGUAAAGGGUGUGUAGGUGGCGCCGUAAGUCGGGUGUGAAAUUUCGGAGCUUAACUCCGAAACUGCAUUCGAUACUGCGGUGCUUGAGGACUGGAGAGGAGACUGGAAUUUACGGUGUAGCGGUGAAAUGCGUAGAUAUCGUAAGGAAGACCAGUGGCGAAGGCGGGUCUCUGGACAGUUCCUGACGCUGAGGCACGAAGGUCGGGGGAGCAAACGGG